RNAcentral lists this ribosomal RNA (660 nucleotides) under Nostoc linckia PUPCCC 405.15. RNAcentral describes it as "bacterial SSU rRNA". It matches the Rfam family "Bacterial small subunit ribosomal RNA", at positions 106 to 798 of the family's 1533-position model. Lineage: Bacteria; Bacillati; Cyanobacteriota; Cyanophyceae; Nostocales; Nostocaceae. The record is from RNAcentral.
GUGAGUAACGCGUGAGAAUCUGGCUCUAGGUCGGGGACAACCACUGGAAACGGUGGCUAAUACCGGAUGUGCCGAGAGGUGAAAGAUUUAUUGCCUAGAGAUGAGCUCGCGUCUGAUUAGCUAGUAGGUGGGGUAAGAGCCUACCUAGGCGACGAUCAGUAGCUGGUCUGAGAGGAUGAUCAGCCACACUGGGACUGAGACACGGCCCAGACUCCUACGGGAGGCAGCAGUGGGGAAUUUUCCGCAAUGGGCGAAAGCCUGACGGAGCAAUACCGCGUGAGGGAGGAAGGCUCUUGGGUUGUAAACCUCUUUUCUCAGGGAAGAACACAAUGACGGUACCUGAGGAAUCAGCAUCGGCUAACUCCGUGCCAGCAGCCGCGGUAAUACGGAGGAUGCAAGCGUUAUCCGGAAUGAUUGGGCGUAAAGCGUCCGCAGGUGGCGAUGUAAGUCUGCUGUUAAAGAGUGAGGCUCAACCUCAUAAGAGCAGUGGAAACUACAUAGCUAGAGUGCGUUCGGGGCAGAGGGAAUUCCUGGUGUAGCGGUGAAAUGCGUAGAUAUCAGGAAGAACACCGGUGGCGAAAGCGCUCUGCUAGGCCGCAACUGACACUGAGGGACGAAAGCUAGGGGAGCGAAUGGGAUUAGAUACCCCCAGUAGUCACG